This 253-nucleotide ribosomal RNA is filed under the name uncultured bacterium. RNAcentral describes it as "partial 16S ribosomal RNA". It matches the Rfam family "Bacterial small subunit ribosomal RNA", at positions 524 to 776 of the family's 1533-position model. The record is from RNAcentral.
UACAGAGGGUGCAAGCGUUGUUCGGAAUUAUUGGGCGUAAAGCGCGUGUAGGCGGCUUUGUAAGUCGGGUGUGAAAUCCCUCAGCUCAACUGAGGAAGUGCGCCCGAAACUACAUUGCUUGAGUACCGGAGAGGGUAGCGGAAUUCCCCAAGUAGAGGUGAAAUUCGUAGAUAUGGGGAGGAACACCGGUGGCGAAGGCGGCUACCUGGACGGUCACUGACGCUGAGACGCGAAAGCGUGGGGGGCGAACAGG